UAAAAAGAUCAGCUCCACUGCGACCGGCCACGCUUCCAGUCUCCUCUGCCCAGCCUGGACCGUCCGGACGGCCAUCGGGCGCGGCUACAUCGCCAAAUCUGAAGGAUGUUGAGGCUGCAAGUCCGGCGGCGCGACAAAAAAAAACGAAAAAGCCUCCUUACCAAUUGUCAGCCCUGGAGGAUGCAUUGAAC
Long non-coding RNA from Venturia canescens, 191 nucleotides. RefSeq lists it as uncharacterized. NCBI's taxonomy places the organism in Eukaryota, Metazoa, Arthropoda, Insecta, Hymenoptera, Ichneumonidae. The record is from RefSeq and is a predicted model, not a curated record. The transcript has 4 exons.